UCCUGACUGACCGAUAGUGAACCAGUACCGUGAGGGAAAGGCGAAAAGAACCCCGGCGAGGGGAGUGAAAAAGAACCUGAAACCGUGUACGUACAAGCAGUGGGAGCACGCUUAGGCGUGUGACUGCGUACCUUUUGUAUAAUGGGUCAGCGACUUAUAUUCUGUAGCAAGGUUAACCGAAUAGGGGAGCCGAAGGGAAACCGAGUCUUAACUGGGCGUUAAGUUGCAGGGUAUAGACCCGAAACCCGGUGAUCUAGCCAUGGGCAGGUUGAAGGUUGGGUAACACUAACUGGAGGACCGAACCGACUAAUGUUGAAAAAUUAGCGGAUGACUUGUGGCUGGGGGUGAAAGGCCAAUCAAACCGGGAGAUAGCUGGUUCUCCCCGAAAGCUAUUUAGGUAGCGCCUCGUGAAUUCAUCUCCGGGGGUAGAGCACUGUUUCGGCAAGGGGGUCAUCCCGACUUA
This 463-nucleotide ribosomal RNA is filed under the name Escherichia coli. RNAcentral's name for it is "partial 23S ribosomal RNA". It matches the Rfam family "Bacterial large subunit ribosomal RNA", at positions 474 to 938 of the family's 2925-position model. The record is from RNAcentral. Lineage: Bacteria; Pseudomonadati; Pseudomonadota; Gammaproteobacteria; Enterobacterales; Enterobacteriaceae. RNAcentral also lists the same sequence under 1 other name.